GCCCGUGUGGCGGAAUUGGCAGACGCGCCGUCUUCAGGUGGCGGUCCCGGCAACGGGGUAGAGGUUCGAGUCCUCUCACGGGCA
RNAcentral lists this transfer RNA (84 nucleotides) under Planctomycetota bacterium. Its description in RNAcentral is "Planctomycetes bacterium tRNA-Leu". It matches the Rfam family "tRNA". From Rfam's summary of the family: Transfer RNA (tRNA) molecules are approximately 80 nucleotides in length. Their secondary structure includes four short double-helical elements and three loops (D, anti-codon, and T loops). RNAcentral also lists the same sequence under 1 other name. Lineage: Bacteria; Pseudomonadati; Planctomycetota. The record is from RNAcentral.